CAUUAUGUUUUAAAGGAGACAUAACAUGAAAAACCCACUUUUUUAUCCAUUAACACAGUGUGUUUCACAUUUUAAGUGUCUAAGUGAGCAAAAAGGCUUAUAUUAUUCACUGGAGUUGCUAUUUAGAUAUUUAAUAAUUAAGUUUUGGGCAUAUUUGUCCACCCGUUCAGUUUUUCACAUUAUCUAUUACAUCAGUAAUUUAUUUCGUCAGGAUAACUACCAAAUAUGGUAAUGGCCCUCGGCUAAACACAGAGCCAAUCUGCCAUUUUUUCUUCUCGCUAAGAUUUUUUGUAGUCCUAUUGGAAAAAUGCAGAAUGUCUGGUUAUUUUAGCCACACACAGCUCAAAACUGUUCCUCGUUUUAAGGAAGGGUGGUGUGGCAGUAUUUAAACCCAGGAGCUGAUGACACUACUGCUAAAAAAACACAGAAGAAAAAGUAGUGUGUUUGUGUUUGUUGUGUGUGUGUGUGUGUGUGUGUGUGUGUGUGUGUGUGUGUGUGUGUGUGUGUGUGUGUGUGUGUGUGUGUGUGUGUGUGUGCGUGCGUGCGUGGUUCGUUCGUUCUGUCUCCAGGCUAGUGGCUAAGUACUGAGGGCUCCAUCUGAAUUUGGCAGCACCGGGACACAGCAGCAGAGCGAGUCAACAUCCAGAAGUCUGGAGCCGUGUUUCACUGACAGGCUGUCAGACUAACGCCCUGAUGAGCUCAGCAGGGACAAACUGGUCUGAUGUUUAGGAACACAGAACGUUCAGAUGUUGGCGUUUCACGUCACCUACUGAGGAAGGAGGCUCACCAGUAAAGAGAUGGUAGCUGGACCAGACCAAAAAUAUGGCGAUGACAUCAUGGAACUGGUCUUUGGAAAAGUUUUCCCUGAACCAACUCCGUUUCUAGAUGAGGUAGAGAAGAUCUGCAUCUCACCAACCCUCUGGUCUCAGUAUUCAGACAACGGAGGUCUCCCACUGUUAUCCAGGACCAGUUUGAAGCCCACAUACUGCCCCUCCCUCAUCAUCAGGAAACAUCAAUCCGUUUCCUGAGGACAACAGAAGACGGCAGGAGGACAGGAACUCUGUGACCUAGAUACCACCAGCACCGAGACACAAAGCACCUGUGUGCACAACGCCUGUUUAACUACUAAAGCCUGUUUAUUAUAUUGUUCUACUUAUUUGCUGUGAGGUUAAUACUUAGAAAAUUUGUAUAUUAAUGUAAACAAUAAAAAAAAUCACUGAUUGUAUGUUUUCUUUUAGAUGUAAUGGUCCAAACUCAGCCUUGUAGACAUUUAUUGCAUCCUGUAGGUAACAGGCUCAGAUCCAGGAUGACCCAGCAUGCUCUUCUUCCAUUCUGGCUGUUAGGGAUUUUAUCAAUAACUCAAUGCCUACUGAUGUUUUAACCUAACAGUAUUUAUUUAGAAUGCAGGUAAGAUUUAACUAUAUUUGUUAGCAAAGCAGACUGAUCUUGGGAAUUUCACUGCAGCACUGAUGUCCACCUCUCUGUACACAUUAGAGAGAAUUACCACUUUACAGCUAAACACAUUUAAUAAAGAUAUAGGCUAAACAUUGCAGACAAUAAAAACAAAGUUGUAAGCAUUAGAAUUAUAAUGAUCACAUUAAAGAACAUUUGGAGGAAUGUUCUUUAUUUUUGACUAGAAUCUCAAAUCUUUAAAUUAAAAUGUAACUGCUUUUUAUCCAUUUUCAGCCUUUAAGACACCCAAUAUAAAAUAAGAC
Long non-coding RNA from Nothobranchius furzeri (turquoise killifish), 1715 nucleotides. RefSeq lists it as uncharacterized. NCBI's taxonomy places the organism in Eukaryota, Metazoa, Chordata, Actinopteri, Cyprinodontiformes, Nothobranchiidae. The record is from RefSeq and is a predicted model, not a curated record.